RNAcentral lists this ribosomal RNA (505 nucleotides) under uncultured bacterium. RNAcentral describes it as "partial 16S ribosomal RNA". It matches the Rfam family "Bacterial small subunit ribosomal RNA", at positions 28 to 507 of the family's 1533-position model. The record is from RNAcentral.
GACGAACGCUGGCGGCGUGCCUAAUACAUGCCAGUAGAACGCACAGUUUAUACCGUAGCUUGCUACACCAUAGACUGUGAGUUGCGAACGGGUGAGUAACGCGUAGGUAACCUGCCUGGUAGCGGGGGAUAACUAUUGGAAACGAUAGCUAAUACCGCAUAAUAUUGAUUAUUGCAUGAUAAUUGAGUUAAAGAUGCUAUUGCAUCACUACCAGCUGGACCUGCGUUGUAUUAGCUAGUAGGUGAGGUAACGGCUCACCUAGGCGACGAUACAUAGCCGACCUGAGAGGGUGAUCGGCCACACCGGGACUGAGACACGGCCCAGACUCCUACGGGAGGCCGCAGUAGGGAAUCUUCGGCAAUGGACGAAAGUCUGACCGAGCAAAGCCGCGUGAGUGAAGAAGGUUUUCGGAUCGUAAAGCUCUGUUGUAAGAGAAGAACGGGUGUGAGAGUGGAAAGUUCACACUGUGACGGUAUCUUACCAGAAAGGGACGGCUAACUACGUG